AGUUAAUUGUGAACUUAGAUUCUAGGACCACUGGAUUCCAUCCCCAGCACCUCAUAAGAUAGGCAUGGUGGCACACAACUGCAAUCCAAGAACGGGAGAGGUAGACUCAGGAAGGGCAGAAGUUCAAGGUCAUCCUCAGCUGCACAGUGAGUUCAAGACCAGCUCCUGUAGGUCAGGUCAACUGUUUCUGCGGGUGUCUGAAGCACCGUCUUGGCUCCAUUGCUCAUCCCUCCUCCCUCUCCACAACUGGAUUCCAGAAGUAUGGUUCAGUGCUUAGCUGUGGGUGCCUGUUUCUACUUUGACCAGCUACUAAAUGAAGGCUCUAGGAGUGGUAAUCAAGAUCCAGCGCACACAUCUGCAGCUACUGUGAGCUCAUGAUUGCAAUGGCUACAUGUGCAAUGUGGAUUAUCACUCCUACUUCCUUUCACCAUGACCAAUGGCUCCCAUCAGUCACAUGAACGAGCUUAAUCAGGG
This 474-nucleotide long non-coding RNA is filed under the name Cricetulus griseus (Chinese hamster). RNAcentral's name for it is "lncRNA (ENSCGRG00015036563.1)". The record is from RNAcentral. Lineage: Eukaryota; Metazoa; Chordata; Mammalia; Rodentia; Cricetidae.